AUUAAACGCUGGCGGCAUGCCUUACACAUGCAAGUCGAACGGCAGCACGGGGGCAACCCUGGUGGCGAGUGGCGGACGGGUGAGUAAAGCAUCGGAACGUAUCCUGGAGUGGGGGAUAACGUAGCGAAAGUUACGCUAAUACCGCAUAUUCUGUGAGCAGGGAAAGCAGGGGAUCGCAAGACCUUGCGCUCUGGGAGCGGCCGAUGUCGGAUUAGCUAGUUGGUGGGGUAAAGGCCUACCAAGGCGACGAUCCGUAGCGGGUCUGAGAGGAUGAUCCGCCACACUGGGACUGAGACACGGCCCAGACUCCUACGGGAGGCAGCAGUGGGGAAUUUUGGACAAUGGCGGAAGCCUGAUCCAGCCAUGCCGCGUGAGUGAAGAAGGCC
RNAcentral lists this ribosomal RNA (386 nucleotides) under uncultured bacterium. RNAcentral's name for it is "bacterial SSU rRNA". It matches the Rfam family "Bacterial small subunit ribosomal RNA", at positions 29 to 416 of the family's 1533-position model. The record is from RNAcentral.